Maniola jurtina (meadow brown) is the source of this 167-nucleotide long non-coding RNA. RefSeq lists it as uncharacterized. The transcript has 3 exons. The record is from RefSeq and is a predicted model, not a curated record. Lineage: Eukaryota; Metazoa; Arthropoda; Insecta; Lepidoptera; Nymphalidae.
UGAGUAUUUACUGAUAUAAAUAUUUAUAAAAAUAUGAUUAAUUUUUUUAGAAAUACCUUUAAUAUAAUAGGAAAUUUAUUAAAGGUAUUGAUUUAGUUGAACUAAAUAGUAAUUUUUUCGUAGAUUUGGCAGUAAAUCUAGGCUCUCGUUCAUUUUUUAACAAUCAG